Molecule: ribosomal RNA, 1540 nt
Filed under: Escherichia coli O15:H18
Lineage: Bacteria; Pseudomonadati; Pseudomonadota; Gammaproteobacteria; Enterobacterales; Enterobacteriaceae
Description: bacterial SSU rRNA
Rfam family: Bacterial small subunit ribosomal RNA
Source: RNAcentral
AAAUUGAAGAGUUUGAUCAUGGCUCAGAUUGAACGCUGGCGGCAGGCCUAACACAUGCAAGUCGAACGGUAACAGGAAACAGCUUGCUGUUUCGCUGACGAGUGGCGGACGGGUGAGUAAUGUCUGGGAAACUGCCUGAUGGAGGGGGAUAACUACUGGAAACGGUAGCUAAUACCGCAUAACGUCGCAAGACCAAAGAGGGGGACCUUCGGGCCUCUUGCCAUCGGAUGUGCCCAGAUGGGAUUAGCUAGUAGGUGGGGUAACGGCUCACCUAGGCGACGAUCCCUAGCUGGUCUGAGAGGAUGACCAGCCACACUGGAACUGAGACACGGUCCAGACUCCUACGGGAGGCAGCAGUGGGGAAUAUUGCACAAUGGGCGCAAGCCUGAUGCAGCCAUGCCGCGUGUAUGAAGAAGGCCUUCGGGUUGUAAAGUACUUUCAGCGGGGAGGAAGGGAGUAAAGUUAAUACCUUUACUCAUUGACGUUACCCGCAGAAGAAGCACCGGCUAACUCCGUGCCAGCAGCCGCGGUAAUACGGAGGGUGCAAGCGUUAAUCGGAAUUACUGGGCGUAAAGCGCACGCAGGCGGUUUGUUAAGUCAGAUGUGAAAUCCCCGGGCUCAACCUGGGAACUGCAUCUGAUACUGGCAAGCUUGAGUCUCGUAGAGGGGGGUAGAAUUCAGGUGUAGCGGUGAAAUGCGUAGAGAUCUGGAGGAAUACCGGUGGCGAAGGCGGCCCCCUGGACGAAGACUGACGCUCAGGUGCGAAAGCGUGGGGAGCAAACAGGAUUAGAUACCCUGGUAGUCCACGCCGUAAACGAUGUCGACUUGGAGGUUGUGCCCUUGAGGCGUGGCUUCCGGAGCUAACGCGUUAAGUCGACCGCCUGGGAGUACGGCCGCAAGGUUAAAACUCAAAUGAAUUGACGGGGGCCCGCACAAGCGGUGGAGCAUGUGGUUUAAUUCGAUGCAACGCGAAGAACCUUACCUGGUCUUGACAUCCACAGAACUUUCCAGAGAUGGAUUGGUGCCUUCGGGAACUGUGAGACAGGUGCUGCAUGGCUGUCGUCAGCUCGUGUUGUGAAAUGUUGGGUUAAGUCCCGCAACGAGCGCAACCCUUAUCCUUUGUUGCCAGCGGUCCGGCCGGGAACUCAAAGGAGACUGCCAGUGAUAAACUGGAGGAAGGUGGGGAUGACGUCAAGUCAUCAUGGCCCUUACGACCAGGGCUACACACGUGCUACAAUGGCGCAUACAAAGAGAAGCGACCUCGCGAGAGCAAGCGGACCUCAUAAAGUGCGUCGUAGUCCGGAUUGGAGUCUGCAACUCGACUCCAUGAAGUCGGAAUCGCUAGUAAUCGUGGAUCAGAAUGCCACGGUGAAUACGUUCCCGGGCCUUGUACACACCGCCCGUCACACCAUGGGAGUGGGUUGCAAAAGAAGUAGGUAGCUUAACCUUCGGGAGGGCGCUUACCACUUUGUGAUUCAUGACUGGGGUGAAGUCGUAACAAGGUAACCGUAGGGGAACCUGCGGUUGGAUCACCUCCUUA